CCCACCCCAACCCCGCCCUCCCAAGACGACGAGCUAAAACAGUGACUAAAAGCACAGUGGCAGAAAAGAAAAAGCAGAAGAAUGAAUCACGAAGAUGGCACUGAUCCUUGGCUUUCUCAAAGGCCGGAAACGCCACCUUGGGAUGCAGCGGAGUACAAUCAACUCAUUUCUUCAGGGCCAUUGCUGCCACUACUAGACCACUACGCGGGCAUCGGUACGAUGCAUGAUAAACAAAGAAGAAACAAUUGCCAUGUUCGUGACAAUGAAGAUGUCAUUCUACUUAUGUCCUACAAUCUAUUUUUAGCAGGUUCUUAUGACCAAACCACAAUCAGGGGGGCAACAUGGCAAGUUUCGUCACAGGGCGCUAACGCUGACAAAUGUACGGGCAACCAACUUCAGCUAGCUAAUGUGGCAAAUCAAGGACCUUCAUGCAGCACGUGGCAUCAGGC
Molecule: non-coding RNA, 449 nt
Organism: Aegilops tauschii subsp. strangulata
Lineage: Eukaryota; Viridiplantae; Streptophyta; Magnoliopsida; Poales; Poaceae
Source: RefSeq, a predicted model, not a curated record